Molecule: ribosomal RNA, 402 nt
Filed under: uncultured bacterium
Lineage: Bacteria
Description: bacterial SSU rRNA
Rfam family: Bacterial small subunit ribosomal RNA
Source: RNAcentral
UGGGGAAUCUUGGACAAUGGGGGCAACCCUGAUCCAGCGAUGCCGCGUGAGCGAAGAAGGCCUUAGGGUUGUAAAGCUCUUUCGCCCGCGACGAUGAUGACGGUAGCGGGAGAAGAAGCCCCGGCUAACUCCGUGCCAGCAGCCGCGGUAAUACGGAGGGGGCUAGCGUUGUCCGGAAUUACUGGGCGUAAAGCGCGCGUAGGCGGUCCACCAAGUCGGGGGUGAAAGCCCGGGGCUCGACCCCGGAAUGUCCUCCGAGACUGUUGGACUGGAGUUCGGGAGAGGAGAGCGGAAUUCCCAGUGUAGAGGUGAAAUUCGUAGAUAUUGGGAAGAACACCGGUGGCGAAGGCGGCUCUCUGGCCCGCAACUGACGCUGAGGCGCGAAAGCGUGGGGAGCAAACA